GUGAGGAAUUUUCCGCAAUGGGCGAAAGCCUGACGGAGCAAUGCCGCGUGAAGGAUGAAGGCCUAUGGGUUGUAAACUUCUUUUCUCAGAAAAGAAUUUUGACGGUAUCUGAGGAAUAAGCAUCGGCUAACUCUGUGCCAGCAGCCGCGGUAAGACAGAGGAUGCAAGCGUUAUCCGUAAUGAUUGGGCGUAAAGCGUCUGUAGGUUGUUUAAAAAGUAUUCUGUCAAAGAUUAGGGCUUAACCCUAGAUAGGCAGAAUAAACUUUUAAGCUAGAGUUUGGUAGAGGCAGAGGGAAUUCCCGGUGGAGCGGUGAAAUGCGUAGAUAUCGGGAGGAACACCAAAGGCGAAGGCACUCUGCUGGGCCAAUACUAACACUGAGAGACGAAAGCGAGGGGAGCAAAUGGGAUUAGAUACCCCGGUAGUCC
Molecule: ribosomal RNA, 426 nt
Filed under: uncultured bacterium
Lineage: Bacteria
Description: partial 16S ribosomal RNA
Rfam family: Bacterial small subunit ribosomal RNA
Source: RNAcentral